GAUGAACGCUGGCGGCGUGCCUAAUACAUGCAAGUCGAGCGAACAGAUGAGGAGCUUGCUCCUCUGACGUUAGCGGCGGACGGGUGAGUAACACGUGGAUAACCUACCUAUAAUACUGGGAUAACUUCGGGAAACCGGAGCUAAUACCGGAUAAUAUAUUGAACCGCAUGGUUCAAUAGUGAAAGACGGUUUUGCUGUCACUUAUAGAUGGAUCCGCGCCGCAUUAGCUAGUUGGUAAGGUAACGGCUUACCAAGGCAACGAUGCGUAGCCGACCUGAGAGGAUGAUCGGCCACACUGGAACUGAGACACGGUCCAGACUCCUACGGGAGGCAGCAGUAGGGAAUCUUCCGCAAUGGGCGAAAGCCUGACGGAGCAACGCCGCGUGAGUGAUGAAGGUCUUCGGAUCGUAAAACUCUGUUAUUAGGGAAGAACAAAUGUGUAAGUAACUAUGCACGUCUUGACGGUACCUAAUCAGAAAGCCACGGCUAACUACGUG
Molecule: ribosomal RNA, 497 nt
Filed under: uncultured bacterium
Lineage: Bacteria
Description: partial 16S ribosomal RNA
Rfam family: Bacterial small subunit ribosomal RNA
Source: RNAcentral